AACGAACGCUGGCGGCAUGCCUAACACAUGCAAGUCGAACGAGACCCCUGACUUCGGUUGGCGGGUCUAGUGGCGCACGGGUGCGUAACGCGUGGGAAUCUGCCCUUGGGUUCGGUAUAACUCAGAGAAAUUUGAGCUAAUACCGGAUGAUGACGAAAGUCCAAAGAUUUAUUGCCCAGGGAUGAGCCCGCGUAAGAUUAGCUUGUUGGUGGGGUAAUGGCCUACCAAGGCGACGAUCUUUAGCUGGUCUGAGAGGAUGAUCAGCCACACUGGGACUGAGACACGGCCCAGACUCCUACGGGAGGCAGCAGUGGGGAAUAUUGGACAAUGGGCGCAAGCCUGAUCCAGCAAUGCCGCGUGAGUGAUGAAGGCCUUAGGGUUGUAAAGCUCUUUUACCAGGGAUGAUAAUGACAGUACCUGGAGAAUAAGCUCCGGCUAACUCCGUGCCAGCAGCCGCGGUAAAGUCUGUACU
This 472-nucleotide ribosomal RNA is filed under the name uncultured bacterium. Its description in RNAcentral is "bacterial SSU rRNA". It matches the Rfam family "Bacterial small subunit ribosomal RNA", at positions 29 to 531 of the family's 1533-position model. The record is from RNAcentral.